UGUUGUGAGGCAGAGGUGUCCUUGGAUCCUUCACUGUGCUGUAAUGGUCCUUUCUUUGGUCCAGGGGGGAGGGGGGUUGGGAGGUGGAGGUUGGGUUUGUUGGUAGAAGAUGAUACAUAAACUGACCAUUCCUCAGAAUAUUCUAGAGACCCUGACCCUUUCUCAACUAACUAAUGAACACCAAUAUUUUUCUCCCCCCCCACCCCCACUAAGUAUUCCCUACUUCUAAAUAACUAUAGAUAGUGGGGUGGUAUCCUCUGCUGUUUGCACAUAGUGUUGGUCCUUUUCAUUACUGGCCUGCUAUCACACUCAUGCAUUCUUAUGUUUGUUUCAUAUCAUACCUAUUGUAGCUUCUUUGGAUUCUACAGCACAGAUUGCACAACCAAGUGGGGCUGAUUGGCAAGAAGAAGUGUACCAAAAGAUCCAAACCAUAAAAGAAAAUUACUUCACAGAGAUGAACGAAGAGUACCAGAAAGUUGCUUUGAGACUUCAGCAGGUUUUUCAAUGUCAAAUGACUUAUUGAGUACUGACUCUGAAAAGUGAGGUGCUCACACACUACCCUCUCCUUCUCAGGUAUCCACGUCAUUUGUCGAUAUGUAAUAUCUUUAUUUUCCUUCAACGGUUAAUAUAAUUCAUGUUCAAUCUUAAUUUUGGUUUGCCAACAAUCCAUGCAUGUUCAAGAGUCACUCUUCUUUUGGGGUUCUUGGCUUUCGUGUGUUUUGCUUCCUCUCAUGGACAAGUAAGUUGAUGAGUUGAGACAUCUAACUGAUACAAAACAGAUGAUUAUUUUAAAUUAAUGUGUUUCCAUUCAGUACUUUCCCCUCAUAUUAAAAGUUUUAAUGUGAUUUUCUCAAAUAUAAAUCCUUUUCAAUUCUUCCAGUAGACAUUAGACUGCAAAUCUUCAAUGAAUUGGUGUAUUCUCAAUGCCUAACAGUGUAGCCUCUCAAUGUAUUUCGAUAUUGUUCUCUUCACUGUCUUCAGCUACAGUACAUUAGUGUUAUAUAUAUGUUUUGAUGGCAUAAUGUUUACUUGAAAGACUAUCCUGAAGUGCAUGAUGGUUUGGUGGAUGUCAUUUUGUCUUUACUUUUUGUUGGUAUUU
Molecule: long non-coding RNA, 1099 nt
Organism: Lotus japonicus
Lineage: Eukaryota; Viridiplantae; Streptophyta; Magnoliopsida; Fabales; Fabaceae
Exons: 3
Source: RefSeq, a predicted model, not a curated record